UAAACAUUUACAUCUGACCGUUAACAAUAAAAAUUCUGUGCAGAGCUAUCAUAUUUGUAGAAUUUGAUGUGGAAUAUUCGGUCACUGAAUACUUCUCUCUUUCUCUCGUUGUGUAUUGAGUAUUGAUGCUGCAAAAGAAGACGGAUCAUUUGGUAGUCUGGUUAAUGAUGACCACAAGCACCCAAAUGGCAGAAUGCAGAAGACUGAAGUGGAUGGAAGCCCACAUCUUGGUCUGUUUGCUUUAACAGACUUUAAAGAAGGUGAUGAAAUUACCUACAAUUACGGAGGAGGAGUCUGGCCUUGGUGUAGCAAGGUAAAACAUCUACUCUGAAAAAGAGGAAGGCUCAGGAAGGAAAUGAGGUCCAUGCAGUGGAGAGACAUAUGAAGACCUUCAUCAUGUCAUGUCGUGUCCCAGGGAAGUUGGUCUGUGAAAACUGCAUUAGAUCUGAGUCUUUAUAUCUUAAAGAUAGAGACUGGCAAAGUGUCAAAUUCUAUGUCUAUAACUGCACUGUAGCUUACAAAAGAGAUAUAAACAAAGAUUAAAUAACACUUUGAUAGUAACACUUUACAUCUAUAUUACAGAUACUGUACAUCAUAACAUCUGUAGUAAUGCUUUAAUAAUAAGUUACAUUACACCUCUAGCCUUUUACUUUGUAAUGAACCGCUCAGCAUUUACUUCAUCAUAAACUAAUCAGGAACAAAUCAGGCAUUUAAAAUAUCCAUUAGAAUCUUUACCUACACCGUUAUAUUGAAUUAGAUCAAAUUGGUUUGGGCCGCCUUCUUCCAGUGG
This is a long non-coding RNA of Ictalurus punctatus (channel catfish), 790 nucleotides long. RefSeq lists it as uncharacterized. The record is from RefSeq and is a predicted model, not a curated record. Lineage: Eukaryota; Metazoa; Chordata; Actinopteri; Siluriformes; Ictaluridae. The transcript has 2 exons.